AGCAGUGGGGAAUUUUGGACAAUGGGCGAAAGCCUGAUCCAGCAAUGCCGCGUGAGUGAAGAAGGCCUUCGGGUUGUAAAGCUCUUUUGUCAGGGAAGAAACGGUGAGAGCUAAUAUCUCUUGCUAAUGACGGUACCUGAAGAAUAAGCACCGGCUAACUACGUGCCAGCAGCCGCGGUAAUACGUAGGGUGCAAGCGUUAAUCGGAAUUACUGGGCGUAAAGCGUGCGCAGGCGGUUUUGUAAGUCUGAUGUGAAAUCCCCGGGCUCAACCUGGGAAUUGCAUUGGAGACUGCAAGGCUAGAAUCUGGCAGAGGGGGGUAGAAUUCCACGUGUAGCAGUGAAAUGCGUAGAUAUGUGGAGGAACACCGAUGGGCGAAAGGCAGCCCCCUGGGUCAAGAUUGACGCUCAUG
This 411-nucleotide ribosomal RNA is filed under the name uncultured bacterium. RNAcentral's name for it is "bacterial SSU rRNA". It matches the Rfam family "Bacterial small subunit ribosomal RNA", at positions 350 to 751 of the family's 1533-position model. The record is from RNAcentral.